AGGACGAACGCUGGCGGCGUGCUUAACACAUGCAAGUCGAACGAACCUUCGGGUUAGUGGCGAACGGGUGAGUAACACGUGGGCAACCUGCCUCGAGCUCUGGGAUAACACCGGGAAACCGGUGCUAAUACCGGAUAUGAACAGAGAAGGCAUCUUCUCUGUUGGAAAGUUUUUCGGCUCGAGAUGGGCCCGCGGCCUACCAGCUUGUUGGUGGGGUAACGGCCUACCAAGGCGACGACGGGUAACC
RNAcentral lists this ribosomal RNA (247 nucleotides) under uncultured bacterium. RNAcentral describes it as "partial small subunit ribosomal RNA". It matches the Rfam family "Bacterial small subunit ribosomal RNA", at positions 26 to 288 of the family's 1533-position model. The record is from RNAcentral.